This 179-nucleotide non-coding RNA is filed under the name Chloroflexota bacterium. Its description in RNAcentral is "Chloroflexi bacterium 6S RNA". It matches the Rfam family "6S / SsrS RNA". Rfam says of the family: E. coli 6S RNA was the first non coding RNA to be sequenced, but its function was unknown until recently. It consists of 184 nucleotides that fold into an extended hairpin structure with a large single-stranded internal bulge. Lineage: Bacteria; Bacillati; Chloroflexota. The record is from RNAcentral.
UUAUCCCUGCUGUGUGCGUGAUGGGUUUCUACAUUUGAGCCAACGCCACUUGAAAGGGAAUAGGCAAAUCCGCAGAGGGGAUGUAGUAGCCUAAGGGCAAGGCAGUAUCCUCGCGAAAGCAUUCCCACCUGCCUAUGCAGGUUCAAGUACAGGAGUUCACACGGCAUGGCGGGGUGUUU